RNAcentral lists this ribosomal RNA (465 nucleotides) under uncultured bacterium. RNAcentral describes it as "partial 16S ribosomal RNA". It matches the Rfam family "Bacterial small subunit ribosomal RNA", at positions 28 to 507 of the family's 1533-position model. The record is from RNAcentral.
GACGAACGCUGGCGGCGUGCUUAACACAUGCAAGUCGAACGGAAAGGCCCUGCUUGCAGGGUACUCGAGUGGCGAACGGGUGAGUAACACGUGGGUGAUCUGCCCUGCACUUCGGGAUAAGCCUGGGAAACUGGGUCUAAUACCGGAUAUGACCUUCCAUGUAGUGUGGGGGGUGGAAAGAUUUAUCGGUGUGGGAUGAGCCCGCGGCCUAUCAGCUUGUUGGUGGGGUAAUGGCCUACCAAGGCGUCGACGGGUAGACGGCCUGAGAGGGUGGACGGCCACAUUGGGACUGAGAUACGGCCCAGACUCCUACGGGAGGCAGCAGUGGGGAAUAUUGCACAAUGGGCGGAAGCCUUAUGCAGCGACGCCGCGUGGGGGAUGACGGCCUUCGGGUUGUAAACCUCUUUCGACAGGGACGAAGCUUCGGUGACGGUACCUGUAGAAGAAGCACCGGCUAACUACGUG